Molecule: long non-coding RNA, 1968 nt
Organism: Apteryx owenii (little spotted kiwi)
Lineage: Eukaryota; Metazoa; Chordata; Aves; Apterygiformes; Apterygidae
Source: Ensembl
CGUGCCCCCCGCCCCAGCGCACAUCCUCCUGGAGGCCGGCAAGGACCCCAGCUUCCCUCGCAUCACCGUGCUGAAGCCCUACAAGGACAGCCCGGAGGUAUCGGGGAAGAAGGAGCCGCCCGGCCCGCAGCAAGCACCCCCACUGCCCUUUGGGGAGCCGAGCCCCACGCCGCCCGGAGACUACCCGCACCCGGCAGUGCCCCAGCCAGGGCAGCCCUGCUCGCCAGGCACGCAGCCUGCCCCGCACAGAGCUCCCCGGCCCCCACGGGCCACCCUGCCCACCUACAGCGCCCACGUGCAGGGGCCAGCCGGCAGCUACGCCACCGUCACGGCCACCGCUUCGGUGACGGUGGCCCUGCACCCUACGCUGCCCGGCUCCUACCCCAGCUUUGGCCCCGAGGGCUUUGCCAGUGGUGAGACGGACUGCCUGGAGGAGCCCAGUGUGCCCGCUCCCGGGGGCACCGCCGUGCCCAACGCCUUUGAGCUGCAGAAUCUGGGGCGCCAUGGGGCAGGCGCGAGGCGCUAGGUUGCUGGCUUGCAGACGGCACCGACACGCCAGUUUGUGGGCAGAGCAUCUCCCCCAGCGCCAGCGGGGCACAGGCCCGGGGCCGAAUGAUGCAGAGCGGGGUCGCCCGCGUCGUGCUGCUAGUCGCUGGAGUGGUGAUGUCCCGAUCUUGGCCCCGCGCCGUCGCGCCAAGGAGGACCGGCCCCCGUGUCCCCUCUGCAGGAGCUCGCCGGGGCAGGCUGGCGUUUCUAUGCAAGCUGUGCGCAGGCCACGCUUUGCCCAUGUGCCCCCUGCGCGGGGCUGUGCCAACGGCACCGUGUCUCCCCCCAGGGCUUGGGGUUCCCCUGCCCCAGGCCUGCUGCCCCCCAGAAAUGGAAGCACUAACCCCCCCCCCCUCUGUUUCUGGAGCUGCUGGCAAGGCGGGCUCCGCGCCCGGCCCUCUGCCGUGCCAACUCCCCCACUGCGGGGGUCACUGCCUGCUCCCCGUCACCUCCUCUGGGGACCCCCCACCAAUACCACGUGCCGGGGUGCCCAGAUGGGAGGGCCCUGGUGCCCCCAUUCCCGAAAGGGGGCAGCCCCAGAGCCAGCCAUGCCCUGGGGUGCCAUGGGCAAGGCCCGGGGCGGGCACCCCCCCACCUUUAUUUAUUGCAAAGGGAAACUAUCUAUAGAGAGAUUAUAUUUUUAAGCUUAUUUUAAAAGAUUUAUUUCUCAGCCUGAGGCCUUGCCCGGCUGCCCAGGGUGCCAGGCAGUGAGGGGACAAGUCCUUUGCUGGUGUAGGACUGCCCGCCGGAGUCAGCGUGGGCUAGCAGUGAGCCCGGGGCAGGGGUGCUGGGCAGCCGCGGGCAAGUCGCUCCCCUCUGAUGCCUUCCCUGUGCCUCAGUUUCCCCGUCGGUGAGCUCGGCAGGGACGGAGAUGGGGGACACACCGUGGAGCGAGGGAGCCUGUUGCUCCCACCAAACAGGCAGGGUUUGGGGGGUCCUUGGUGCGGUCCUUGCUGUGCCAAGCCCCAGCGCCAUCCCGUGUUCACUGACCCUCAUGCAAUCGCACGUGCCUUGCUCUCAUGAGUGCCCGUGCUGGUGCAUACACACGCUGGCACACAGUCACGCUGGCACGUGCCUUUGCGAUGGGCAGAUCUAGCUGGAAAAGCCCAUUUCCGUGUCCCUGUGCAACACGGCCCUCCUCCCGACCAGCCCUGCUACGGGCAAAGCCAGGCGCUGCCCCCCCAUCCGUCCCCGUCCCAGGCACCGUCCCGCACCGUUACCCAGCACUUUAACUUCAGCAGUGUUUGCGGUGCCCGUGGCCCCGGCCACCCUGGCCAUGGCUGCUGAGCUGUGGUGGCCCCGGGGACCCCGUCCCCGUCCCCGUGCCAGGCGUGGGCACGGCGGGCAGCCCCCCUCCCCCUCCCAAUGUCAUCUAAGUUAUUUAUAUCAAAGAGAGCAAAGGUUUAUUUUUGUAGUUUGUAC